Long non-coding RNA from Helianthus annuus (common sunflower), 441 nucleotides. RefSeq lists it as uncharacterized. NCBI's taxonomy places the organism in Eukaryota, Viridiplantae, Streptophyta, Magnoliopsida, Asterales, Asteraceae. The record is from RefSeq and is a predicted model, not a curated record. The transcript is spliced from 3 exons.
AGGUGUUUGCAGACCACGAGUCAAGCCUUAACCCGAUUGACGUACCCAGAGCUUGGUUAUGGAAUUUACCAAAAAAAACAGUGUAUUUUGGAACUUCCAUACCAUCAAUAUUCAAAGGCCUGACAACAGAGGAAAUUCAAUACUGCUUCUGGAGAGGGUUUGUCUGUGUGAGGGGAUUUGACCGAAAGGAACGAGCACCCCGGCCGCUUAGGGCGAGGCUGCACUUUCCCGCAAGCAGGUUAAAACAAACAAAGCCAAAGACUGAAGAGAAAGAGAAGUUGAAGCAGUAGCAGACAUACAGAGUUGGCUAGAUACAAAUGUUGGCUGUUCAUGAACAGUGGCAUGAUCGAUAUUUUGGUAGUGUUAGGGACAGCAGUUAACUUGGAUAACCUAAAGAUGUUUUGUUAUGUUAAUUUUGUUCUAGUAGAUGCAGUUUUAUAU